CGCCCGUCUGAGGGUCGGCGAGUUU
Molecule: ribosomal RNA, 25 nt
Filed under: Gyrocochlea impressa
Lineage: Eukaryota; Metazoa; Mollusca; Gastropoda; Stylommatophora; Charopidae
Description: partial 5.8S ribosomal RNA
Source: RNAcentral